Molecule: long non-coding RNA, 365 nt
Organism: Notolabrus celidotus (New Zealand spotty)
Lineage: Eukaryota; Metazoa; Chordata; Actinopteri; Labriformes; Labridae
Exons: 2
Source: RefSeq, a predicted model, not a curated record
UCCUGUGUUCCUGCAGAUACUCAAUGAACUGCAGUUUAUAACACUUCUGCAUGGGCUUCAUAUUUUGAGACCGGAGACUGCCGCUUGAUCUAGAGUCCAAGGAAACUCCAUGAGACCAAUGUUCGAAUGUCCAUUUUCAGAGACAUGAACAUGUGCAGCCUGAUGAAACCAGCUUUGGUCUGAUUGGCUCAUUUCCAUUCAUAAACAUGAAUCGAGUCAACCUCUGCCCCGAGUCUGCUGUCUCCAGCUCUUAUGCACCCCUUCCUCUACUGAGCCACACUCGCCCCCUCUCAACCUCCCCACUCAGCUUUCACCUCAGUAAUACCAUUCUGUAACCUUUGCUCCAUUAAAUUCUCCUCAGCUGA